GAUGAACGCUGGCGGCGUGCCUAAUACAUGCAAGUCGAGCGAACAGACGAGGCGCUUGCUCCUCUGACGUUAGCGGCGGACGGGUGAGUAACACGUGGCUAACCUACCUAUAAGACUGGGAUAACUUCGGGAAACCGGAGCUAAUACCGGAUAAUAUAUUGAACCGCAUGGUUCAAUAGUGAAAGACGGUUUUGCUGUCACUUAUAGAUGGAUCCGCGCCGCAUUAGCUAGUUGGUAAGGUAACGGCUUACCAAGGCAACGAUGCGUAGCCGACCUGAGAGGGUGAUCGGCCACACUGGAACUGAGACACGGUCCAGACUCCUACGGGAGGCAGCAGUAGGGAAUCUUCCGCAAUGGGCGAAAGCCUGACGGAGCAACGCCGCGUGAGUGAUGAAGGUCUUCGGAUCGUAAAACUCUGUUAUUAGGGAAGAACAAAUGUGUAAGUAACUAUGCACGUCUUGACGGUACCUAAUCAGAAAGCCACGGCUAACUACGUG
This 497-nucleotide ribosomal RNA is filed under the name uncultured bacterium. RNAcentral's name for it is "partial 16S ribosomal RNA". It matches the Rfam family "Bacterial small subunit ribosomal RNA", at positions 28 to 507 of the family's 1533-position model. The record is from RNAcentral.